UUAUUAUUAGUUAUUAUUGAUGGAUCACGUGAAUUAACCUCAAUUUCUUUUGGUUCAUUAACUCACCUGGUGUGGAACUUCUUAGUUUAUGCAUUUUUAUUUUAACUAAGAGAUUUAUUCUUCCAUGUAGGUAGGUUCUUUCAACCAAAGCACUCUAGCUUCUCAAGCAAAGAACAUGCCUUUGCUCAUUGGGUUCAAAUCAGAACUUUUAUAGCAUGAAGUAUAUACUGUCUUUAAAUUCGCCAGACAAGAUAAAGAUCAGAUUUAAGAUUCUUUGUAGUUCUUUAUGUGGAGCAGUUACCAUUAAAUCCAAGAGAGUCCACUCAAGCUGGGUUACCACACCAACUUUGUUGAAGAAAAAUGAAGAAAUUGUCACCCUUAGGCUAUAGUAUUUUUGUAUUUUGAAAAAUGGUGAUGAUAUAAGUAAAAGUAGUUAUGACCUAAACUAGUAUUAUGUUAUUUUGCAAUGAUGAUAUAUUGUG
Long non-coding RNA from Arachis stenosperma, 482 nucleotides. RefSeq lists it as uncharacterized. The transcript is spliced from 3 exons. The record is from RefSeq and is a predicted model, not a curated record. NCBI's taxonomy places the organism in Eukaryota, Viridiplantae, Streptophyta, Magnoliopsida, Fabales, Fabaceae.